CCUACGGGAGGCAGCAGUGGGGAAUUUUGGACAAUGGGCGCAAGCCUGAUCCAGCCAUGCCGCGUGAGUGAAGAAGGCCUUCGGGUUGUAAAGCUCUUUCGGCCGGGAAGAAAUCGCAUUGGUUAAUACCUGGUGUGGAUGACGGUACCGGAAUAAGAAGCACCGGCUAACUACGUGCCAGCAGCCGCGGUAAUACGUAGGGUGCGAGCGUUAAUCGGAAUUACUGGGCGUAAAGCGUGCGCAGGCGGUUUUGUAAGACAGGCGUGAAAUCCCCGGGCUCAACCUGGGAACUGCGCUUGUGACUGCAAGGCUAGAGUACGGCAGAGGGGGGUGGAAUUCCACGUGUAGCAGUGAAAUGCGUAGAGAUGUGGAGGAACACCAAUGGCGAAGGCAGCCCCCUGGGUCGAUACUGACGCUCAUGCACGAAAGCGUGGGUAGCAAACAGGAUUAGAUACCCUGGUAGUCCACGCCCUAAACGAUGUCAACUAGGUGUUGGGAGGGUAAAACCUUUUAGUACCGGAGCUAACGCGUGAAGUUGACCGCCUGGGGAGUACGGCCGCAAGGUUAAAACUCAAAGGAAUUGACGGGGACCCGCACAAGCGGUGGAUGAUGUGGAUUAAUUCGAUGCAACGCGAAAAACCUUACCUACCCUUGACAUGUCAGGAAGUCUUGAGAGAUUGAGAUGUGCCCGAAAGGGAACCUGAACACAGGUGCUGCAUGGCUGUCGUCAGCUCGUGUCGUGAGAUGUUGGGUUAAGUCCCGCAACGAGCGCAACCCUUGUCGUUAAUUGCCAUCAUUUAGUUGGGCACUUUAGCGAGACUGCCGGUGACAAACCGGAGGAAGGUGGGGAUGACGUCAAGUCCUCAUGGCCCUUAUGGGUAGGGCUUCACACGUCAUACAAUGGUCGGUACAAAGGGUCGCCAACCCGCGAGGGGGAGCCAAUCCCAGAAAGCCGAUCGUAGUCCGGAUUGCAGGCUGCAACUCGCCUGCAUGAAGUCGGAAUCGCUAGUAAUCGUGGAUCAGCAUGUCACGGUGAAUACGUUCCCGGG
This 1049-nucleotide ribosomal RNA is filed under the name uncultured Dechloromonas sp. RNAcentral's name for it is "bacterial SSU rRNA". It matches the Rfam family "Bacterial small subunit ribosomal RNA", at positions 338 to 1378 of the family's 1533-position model. The record is from RNAcentral. Lineage: Bacteria; Pseudomonadati; Pseudomonadota; Betaproteobacteria; Rhodocyclales; Azonexaceae.